AAUGAGCUAAUAUCUGGAUUAAAGUCAAUUAUGAUGACUGCACAACAAAAUCCAGCAAGCUAAAUUUAAACAAAAGGAAAUAUUCUAUAGAGAUUUUUUUUUUUUUUUUUUAUAUUUGUGAGUGUCUGGGCCAGCUUACACGCACCUCGACUAAUCACACGGGACAACCCGCCUGACCUACCACAUGUGUCAAGGAAACUCAUAGAAAAUUAAUUCCCAAGUAGGUGGCCACCAUGGAUUGAACCCAUGACCUCUUAGUUAGACAUUGAGACUAUGUCUCUUUUCACCACUAGCCAACCCAAUAUUCUAUAGAGAUUUUGAUACAUCCAUUUGAGACUAUCUCCGCCACUUACAUUAUUUUAAAAGAUCCAUUGUCCCUUUUCCAGCUAAAUUUUCUGGAAUGGAUGGAGAAGCCCAAAAAAGAACAUAUGAGUGCCAUCAAUGAUGAACAUGCUAAUGACCAAUGAGUGAAUAAUCGAACAAUACUUCUUCCUACAAUAUAACACGUCCAUGCACCCACCCCUCCCCUCCCAUUUUACUAUGUUGGAAAAAGGAAAAAAUCUUGAAAUGAUGUAAUCUGUCAGACAUAACAAAACUUUUAAGAGUAAAUACCCUGUGGAUGGUGUGCACUACAUAUUCUGCAUGUUCUUCAAGUAUACCACCAUCCAUUGCAGAAUGUUCGCCUUCAAGAUCCACUGCAAACCAAUCCAACCUACGAGUGUAGUGAUCUGGCAACUGAAAGUCAUCCAAAUUAGUGUCUGCCUCACCCUCCACCUUGCCUAUGAAAGCCUCCUGAUAAAAAGUUUGCUCGAGAGGGCCUCCUUGGUAAGCCCUAUCAGACUCAGCUGCCAAGGAUCGCACCUGUAAUCAAGAAAAUUUCCAAAAGAAAAUCAUAACUACUAUUUACAGAUUAGAAAAAAAAAAAAGAGACAUAAUUAAUUUCUGACUGUCAAAUACAUAAGGGAUAUAAAAUCGAAGAAAUCUAUAUUAUAAAAAUAGAAGAAGAAGCAAAAAAGGAAGAAGAAAACCUUGCCUGCUUGUAGCUACCUCCAUUUCCUGGAAUGAAAAGAACUGGAACCCCAUUAAGUUUCUUAAGAUGUUCCUUGAAAUCAAUCUUUUUCCAUCCUUCAUGAUACAAAUACACCCCAUAUUUUUCUGACGAUAAGCCCACAGGUGAAGAAAUUGGAAUAUAUGUUGGAUACAUGUAUGUCAUAAUACAUCCAUUAGAAAUUGGUUUUAAAAUUCCAUAUGUAGCAGCAAGGCUGAUCACUACGGUCACAGCUACAAGAACAGCAAUUCUGAUUUUGGCUCUAAGGUCUUGCAUUGUUGGGUCAAACUACCCAGUCCUCGUUAAAAUCUCUCUUUACAAAGCUUCCAUAAAUAUCGGUUUCAAAUCCUACACAAAACACCACAAAAUCAAUAAUCCACUCCUUCCCAAACACAAAACAUCAAUAAAUUCUAAUUUCAAUUGAUAAUCAUGACACUCUGCUUCUUUUCAUGAUGAAAUGCAACGGGAAUUCGAUGUAUUUUCUUGUUGCUUGGACAUGAGAACCAAAACCACACGGUUGGAUUUAGAUCCACUUCAACAACAACAAAAAAAAAAAAAAAAAAAAAAAACAUGAAACAUUUAAGAAUGGUAGGACCAGAGUAAAUAAACUCAUCAUAGUUACUCAAUCCCUCAGUAAACCGCCACACAUUAACAUGCAUAGAAACAGCAACAAACGCAAUUAAAUAACGACAUCUAAACCGUGAAAUGCAUUCAACUACCAACUCUUCGCAACUGAACCACCAAAAAUCCGAAAGAAGAAAUAGCAUUAAAAAAAACACAUCUAGAAGCAGGUCGUUGAGAAUUCAAAUUAUACAAAAACGGAAGAAGAAAUAAAGAUCGAGGUAAUUUGAAAUCCAAAUCCAAAUCCAAAUCCAAAUCCAAAUCCAUCGAUAUGGAGGCAUCAACAAAGAUAAAGAAUAUGAACUGUAAAAAUAAGGGAAUGGAUCUGGAGGAAUUGAAGAAGCGAAGAGAAAUGAGAGAAUGGAAAAGCUUACUGGAUCCGUGGAGAGCAAAGGAAAUGGCGGGAGCAUGAGAGUGUGUGAACUAAUCAGAUCGCGAUGGAUAUAUCUCUCAGAAUCGGACUUUCUUUUUUCUUUUUCUUCUUUUAAUUUAUUUUCUUUCCAACUAUUUCCUCUUUUUUUGAGAACCCGGAAAAGAAAAAAAAUAAUUAAUUAAUUUUUUUAAGAAAAGAAAAUAGAAGAAAACAAAGAUUGAGAGAUUUGACCAAAUUUUGACUCGUGAUCGACCGUUGUGUUUCUUUCAGAAUGCAGGUACGUGGCGACUUUUUAUUGGGUCCUGAACCCACAUUUACGGGGAUUUUAUCAUCGCCCUUCGGUGCCCCGCCCUUCCGAAUUUCAUUUCGUCAUAAACAAAGUACUUCAAAAACUUUGAAUAAAUUUUUUAAAUUAAUUAUUUCAAGUUCUAUUUAUAAAACAGUAAAAUUUAUUAAAUUCUCUACUCCUUUUAAAUAUUCUGUAAAUUAUUUUAUUUAAACCACAAAACCAUAUAUUUAUAUAAAUAUUUUAUUUUAUUUUGUUAUAUAAAAGUAUAUAUUUUGCUCGUCUCUUUUUGGAGAGUGUGUUUUCUAAAUAAAGAUCAAACGACGUCAUUUGAUCAUUCCUACCUUACUUUAUAGUUGGGAUCCUAAUUAUAACAACUUAGAUGUUUUAAAUUAUUAUAGUAUAUAAUUAACUACAACAUUACUAUAUUAUAUAUUUAUUUUGUUAGGUCGCUUGCUAUUUUGUUGUUAUGGCAUCUCUUUUCUAUUUGGUUAGUAUGUUUGUGAUUUCUGAUUAUUUAAGAAAAUAUAUACUAAUGUUCCAUUUGGUUGCUCAUAAUUUUUUAUUAUAUUAAAAACCUUGUAGAUUUCAAAUUAGUUAUAUGUUUGUUUGCCAUCCCAUGAAAUAUAUGGUUCAUUUAUCACAUUUUUAGGAAUAAUAAUUGAUUUAAUACAAUAUAGAAAUGCAAAUAUAUAACUAUAACAUGACUGAACUCUUAUUAAAUUGCAUAAUUUAAAAAAAUUACAAAUAGGAAGGAUUAUUUUUCCUUACAAACUCAAUAUUUCACACACUCAUGAUCAAUAGAUGAAAUCAAAUACCUGACAUCUUAUAGAAAAAUUAAUGUAAAAAAAAUUUCAAUCAAUUUAUAAUCUAAACUUUUACCUUUUACAAGUAUAUAUCAAUUUAAAGAAUAAACUUAUAUAAAUGUUUUACUUGAACACAUCUAUUGAUAUAUGUAUAAAAAUUCAAGUUUAAAUAAAUGUAUUUAUGAAAUUUUAAAUUUAAAUUAAUACAAGUAUUAAUUUAGAGUUUAAAUGAAUAGAAUCUCUAAUAUGUAAUUACUAAUUUAGAAUUCAAAUUUAUACCAUUUCAAAAUUCAGUAAAAAAAAAAAAAGUAUACACGUCAUUGAGCUUUUUUUCUUCCCCUUUGGAGAGGUUAAAGUUAGGCCUUACAUUGAAUAAUGGUUUCAACUUUCAAAUGUUGAAAAGAUUGAGAAGUUUUUUCUAUAUAAACUCUCAAUAUAUCUAAUUCAACCAGUUGAAAAGAUUGAGAAGUUUUUCUAUAUAAACACUCAAUAUAUCUAAUUCAACAUAUUAUUGUUUGAUAAUACUCUGCCACCAACAAUUAACAAAUACCCAUUUCAAAUUAUGUCACUGAUUAUUAACCUACAAAAUAAUCAAACAAUACAUUUAUACUUAAAAUGAUCAAUUAUAACCAACAAUGUACCAACAACCAAUAAACCAAUAUGAAUUUUACUACACACAUUGCUGAUAGAUGGUACGAAGCGCUAAUAUAUCAUUUACAUACAUUAGAUUUUUGUAGCAAUAUUAAUUUAUUGUUUAUGUAUGUCAUUGAUAGAUUGUAUUGCUAAAAAAGCAAAUGUAAAGUACACCAACCGUCACAUUAUUAUCAAUAAACAACAACAUUAGACCUAAUUCAUCCAUCCCAUCAUCUCUACAUAAUAAUAAUAAUUCAAUUAUCUUUAAAAAGGAUGAUCAUGAGGCAAAAAUUAUUGUAAUUAGUGGAGUUUUGCCUUUCCAAAACAGAAAAUUGUAAAAAGUAUUAUCAAGUAGAAUACGAUUCAAUAAAAAUAUAAUUAUAAGAGUUCUAGAGGAGAACGUUAUAAAACUAUAAAACAUUCACUUUAGUACCACGAAAAUAAAAUAGGUUAAAGAUAAGUGAUUUCAAACAAGAAGUUAGAAUUUUCAAACUUCAUAUAUUUGUCGAAUUAAAAUAAACAAUUUUUAGUGUCAUAUAGUCAUAACUCAACUACUUUCUAACGGUUAACCCCAACAAAAAAAAAAAAAAAACCUUAUUCAACAAUAUCACCCAACAUUGUCAAUAAAAAAAUUUAAAUCAAAUUGACCCUUCAAUAUAGUUUUGAUUAUUUAGUUCCCAAACUAGAGACAGUAAUAGCUAUUUAGUUUUGUAUUAGGGUUUAGGGUUCCCAAACAAGUUGGGUUGGGUAGGGUAAGUAAAAACAGAUCCACCAAAGGUAUGAUUCACCGUUAAUUACAAAUGGUGGCUAUUAAACCAGCAUUUCUCAUUCCGUUAUUCAAAUUACCUCUUCUAGUUACCAACUCUACAUGUCAAACGUCUCUUCCAUAGUUUGAAACAAUUUAAAUUCCUAAUAGAAAAAGACUAUUAAUAAAUUGUUACAAUUCUUAACAAAGUUUGACGGACUAAACUGCUACCUUCAUAAAAACUGUAAGCAUCAUCAAAAUUACAAUUAAAACCUAACAAGAAAUGUCCAGUUUCUUUAUCGUAAAUCAACUGAUUAUAUAAAAAACAACAAAUUAUAUUGAGUUAGCUAGUCAUGUUAAAUAAUAUUUAUCCCCACACAUGAAAUUAAAGGCUACCCCAUACUUAACUAUUGGUUUAAUUUCUUUCGAGUCGACAUGGUUAAUAUGUACACAUACUAAUACUAUAAUUAAUUUACUUUGUCAUACCAGCUAUAUCCAUUGCUUUCCCUUAGGAUUUAGCAGCGUCGCCAUCACUUCUCUUGUUGGUUGUUGUGUUCUUUAGUAUCUGUAUAGUAUAUAAUCAUUAACAAAUGAAUUUAAAGCCCUAGCUAUUCAAAGUCAAGAUUAUCAAGUAAAACAAAUUAAAAGUCACUUAAAUUACUUUCUAAAGGUUUAUAAACAAUUUUCAUCUACUUAUAAACAUUUAUUUAAUUAUUUAGAAAAUCAAUCAAAACAUACUAAAAAUAAUGAAAUUUACAUCGUAUAAUUAAUCAUAUACUUGCAUUAUCUAUUAACAAAAUCAUCUCAACCAUUAAUAAAUACUACAUUUAAUAUCAUCAUUUCACAUGAAUUAAAAUAUUUAUAAAAUAUAGUAUAAUUUAAUAUUGCCGCAAUUUUCAUAUUCCUACGUAUAUAGAUACUGUUAAAUUAGAAAAGGCAUAAUUCAGUAGUGCUUCAUAAAUGGGAGAGAGGCGGCAUAAGGGGGUGGGCCAACCACACAAUAAUUUAUCUAAUAAAUGUCAUCACCCAAUAUUUAUAUCCGACUUGGACAGAUAUAAAAACCUAAGUGAGUUAAGGGCACACUGCUAAGUCGAUGAUGGCCCAUCUCAUUAUUGAAAGCAAAGUUUAAUUAUGAAUUCACAAACAGUGGUUUUUUGUAUUUAAGAGUUUUGAAAAAGCAAUUUCAGUUGGUUUGAUCUUUUAUUGCCGUUUUAAACAAAAAACCUAAGUAAGUUGCUUUGAACCUUAAACUUUUAUGUAUCAUAAGUUUAUAUCAUUCUAACUUUUCUUCCUUAAAAUCAUGGGAUCUAACAAACAUUAGAAAAAGAAUAAAAAGACAAGACUCUCGCUAAACAACAAAUCCAUAGAUACCUAUGGAGCUAAAGAACAAAGAUGCAGCAAAUUCAAAAUUCAAAAUUCAACCAAAAUAAUUAAUCUAUUAAAUAUAAAUUUUAAGUUUAGGUUUAGGUUUAGGUUUAACAGCACUAAGGUCUCAGCGCUACAAUUUAGCACAUACUAGAUGGGUAAAUUUAAUAAAAAUAUCAGAAUAGAAAUAAUUUUAAUAUAUAACCUAACCGACUUUUUCCGUAGUUUAGCUCGACAAAGAGGUGGGAAACCUAAGUGAGAAGGUUCAAGACAUAUUCACUGCUAUGCUUGCUAAUGGUAUUAAUACUAAGUGAACUAUAUAAGGAAUAUAAAAUUGAGGAGGUCGAAUCUCUUGGGUCUAUAUUAGAUCCGUCAUGAACAAAGAUAUUUACGAAUAGAGCUAAUGGAGAGGGUUUAGUUUGACGUACGUGUCUAAGCAUUUGAUUCUCAUUUUGUAACGUGGACAACUUCUCUUCAAGCUCCGAAUUCUUCUUCUCCAAAUUUGUUGCCCUUUCUUCCAACUCGCUUAAGUACACCUUUUUCCUUUCCCUUGCUUGUUGUGCUGAAACUCUGUUCCUUAACAAUCUUCAAGACACGAAAAUGGCAUUCAGCUACCAGUAUUUCCUCCACAUACGAUACGACAGAAGAAAUUUGCAAUUAUACGCUACUUUUUUACCUUAUCCUAGACCUGAAAAUCUUACCUCUUCAGCCUUUUGCUUUCUUUCUCAGCCGCACUUCGUCCUCUGCUCCUUACGCUAUCUGAUGCAGGCGCUUUACCUGGCGCUGAAAUGCCGACUGUGGAGCCGGAGUUGCCGCAGAUCUGCGGAACUCUACUUAUCUCCUCCUCAUCACUCUCCGCUCCUAUAUCUGCAGUAAAGAAAUGAACAAUAUACAUAACGUAAUUCUCCAGCAAACGAACAAAAUCAGGAUGCAAUUCCAGAAACUUAUUAUUAAUAGUUAUAUAUACGGAUCUACGUCAACAACUUUACACAAGCUUGAACGAGGAAGGAUAAUCGCAUAGAAGAAAUCAUCAUAUUGUUACGAAAUUAGGUUAGGAGGAUAUGUUUCAAUCGAAUACAGAGCCGCUUGCAAUUUCUUCGUGGAAAAAGAUAGUAAAAGGAACGAUGAUAAAAUGAAACAAUUAUUUGAUUUUGAAAAAUAAAUUCGUCUCCGAUAAAUCAAAAGAACAAGAAAAAAAUCCUAACGACAUCCGGCUGCACUACUUCACGUUCAAUAUUUCCGCUAGAGAUCGUAAAGAAAACAAAAGAAAUUCAAAUCAAACCUUCUUUAACAUCAAGUUGAAAAGCGGAGCUAGACGAUCUUUCACUACUCGAGCGCAUACGACUGACGGUGGCGGCGGAGGCUCGUCCCUGCAUUACGCCGACGAAUAAUCAACACCGAAAAGAUUGGUGUGAGAGAAAAAAAAUUGGAAAGCGAAGCGCUGCAUAAAAGGAAAUGAAGGACUGAAAAAAAGAGCGGGAUAUGUUUGGUGACAGUGCCUUUAUAUGAGAGGAUGUUGCUUUUGGUUAAAUCUGGCCGUUCAAUUACUUUUUCAAUCUGACGGUUGAUAAGCGAACAACGUGGAUGAAGAUGAGCUAUACAAAGUGAAAUCAAUCAAAGGUUGUAAAGAUGAUAGCGUGGAGUAUGUUACAGCCGUAUGAUUAGAUUUUGAGAGCACACAUCCAUACAUUGUUGAAAGAAAAGACUCGCAUUCGAUUUAUAUAUCCAAACUUUGUCACUUAUAUCAAUUUAAACUAUCUGGUAAGUGCAUAUUUUGAUCAACAUUUUAAUAAGACGUUUGAAUUAUUAUAGUUAGAUUAUAAUAAUUUGUGUUUAGAGUGUAGAUUGUUUUAGUAUUGAUUAUAAUAUAAUUUGUUUAAGAUGUAAACUAAUAUAAAUUAAAAAAUCAUAGUAAACACGGAAGCAAAUAAGAAAAAAAAUUAUGAAUAUCAAAUAGUAAAAGUUGUAACAACGUAUUUCUAUCGCAAACUUAGGGUUUUGAAAUAUUGUUUAUUUUACCUAAGUGAAUUUUAAAUAGUAUCUGCUGUAGCACGUUGGUUAUUAUAAUUUUCUCAUAUUGAACUUUGAAUGGCACCUAAAGUGUGGUAAAAGUUGCAAUUUAGUAUUCAAACUAUAAUCCAUUAAUUAUUACAUUAUAUAAAUUUACAACAAUUUAGUAGUUCUUUUAUCAAAAUUAAAUAUAAACUUUUUGACUUAUAAUAUAUACACAUCCAACUAGAUUAUCAAUCUACAUGUGUAGGUUUUUUAAUUAAAUUCUACAAAAAAAAUUUAAAAUGGACUAAAUCAUUCUCAAUUAUAAAACUACAUGGAUUAAAUUGUUACUUAGUGUUUACAAAUUUUCAAUUUUCAAGCAUAAUGAAAUACAUCAAUCAAUUAAAGUUCAUAAACUAAAUUGCUACUUCUAUAAAACAUAUAUAGCGAUCAAGAUGUCUUUUCGUACGUUGAUAUGUUGCUUUACAUACUCACAUCUUUGUCACUCAUCUAUUAAAUAAAUAUACGACAAAAGGUAACAAAAAUAGUCAUUUGUUUCAACAUUUUAAAAAAUACAUAUAAAAAAAACAGGUUAACCAUGAAAUCAAUCUCGAUCAAUCCACAAAAAUAACAAUUUAAUAAGCGUGUUUUUAUAGUUGAACGUUGAAAUUAUUUAAUUUAAAAAACAAGUUAUUUUAAAAAGAAAAAAAUAAUAAAAUAUCGACUAAUCAAUCAAAACACCAAAUGUUUCCCUUAAACAAUUUUUUCAAACGAAGUAACAUACUCUUUUUAUUUCAACAAACUUUUUUCCAUAAACAACCAAAUGAGCAUUUAGUGGCCUAAAAAGUUGAACGUAGGACCAUUUUUAUUUAAGAUUCACUAACUUUGUACUAAAAAAGGGUGUUUUAUAUUCAUUGAAUAAUAUAGGUUAACACACUCAUCUAUCUAUUGUUUCUCUCAUAUAUUAAUUAUUGGGUUGGUAGUAUAAUUAUUUGGAUAGUCGCAAAUUUAGCAAUUAAAUUCAAAACAGUAUAUAGCAAUAUUUUUAAAAAUUUGUAAAUAUAGCACAAUUUGUCAAAUUUUAUCAAAGAUAUAAGUUUAUCACCGAUAGACCAUAUUGCAAAUAUUGGUCUAUUACUGAUAGACGUGAUAGACUAUACGAAGUCUAUCAGCGACACAAAUCUAUUAAUGAUAGUUUUGCUAUAUUUAUAAUUUUUUAAAAUUUUUUAUAUUCUUAAUUAUUAUUGUUGAAAUUGUUAUCAAUUGCAAUUUCCCAAAACUAUAUGGUGUUAUCCAUAAAUUAUGUUCCAAUAAUUUAUUAUCGUAGCUAAUAAUUAAAACAUAAAUUAAAAUAUUUACGAAACAUAGUAAAUUUUAGUAAUAGUUAUUGAUAAGACUUAUAUCAAUCUCAUAAUUUAAAAUUUCGAUAUAUUUUAUAAAUAUUUUUAUCAAUUUUACUGGUUAUAAUAAUAUUCUCACUAUAUAUAUUUAAGCAUCGUCGUAUUAUAUAUUUGACAUCUUUUAUCAUUUUAGGAAUCUUUUGACUAUGAAUGAAGGAAGGAAUCCACAUUUCUCUUUAAUUGAUAGAUAUGAGAUGCAAAAGGUUAAAUUGUCACAUCAUUUAAAACGUUAGGUACAAACAUAGCUCAACCAACCAAAAAUUUAAAAGUUUGAAUUUUCCACCCGUAUUAAUGAGCUCAAAUAUAUACACAUAUAUUAACUCUAGUUUUUUUUAGUACAUUUGAGUGUAGUUUUUAUUAAAUAAACGUGGUUUUAGAAACUAAUGUCAAAAAUAAGGUUGGAUCAAAACUACCCUAUUUUUUCCAUAAUUUUGUCCCAAUUAUAUAUUUUUAUUUUUAAAAAAAGUUAUUAAAUUUUAAUUCACUACUUUAUCAUUUUCUUUUUAUUUACUUUUUAAAAAACGAUUUUUUAAGUACAAUUUAAAGGUGAGGAUUUAAACUUGAAAUCUCUUGUUCUAAUUCUCAAAUUUUGUUGACGAUAUAUUUACUUACGAGAAUUAAUUAUUUUCUUCUAUAAAAUAUGAGACAUUUUUAAAAAUAACAAAACAAAAUAAAAUAUUUACUGAUAAACUAUCGAUGACAGAAUUUGCUAUCGGUUAUAAAUAUUUUAUAAAAUUUGUUAUUUUUUAAAAUUCUUCCUAAAAAAUUAUAAUUUUUUCUACAUUUUUUUUAUUACAAGCAGUAAAAGUAAAAGUAAAAGCGAAAGUCUCUAAUGUCAGUUGUUGGUACAAUUAUUAUAUUCUUAGAUGUAUGGAAUUUACAAUUUUUUCAAUAAAUGAUUACCAAAUCUAAAAGAAUCCCCACACUUUUUCAAUUGGAAAAAGAGUAAGACUACCAAAGGUAACUUGUAAGCCUAUUGUAAAAGCUUUGUUAGUUGCUUUCGACUCAUAAAUUUUAAAUUCAUACCAUAUCAAAAAAUUAUGGUAAAUGAUAAAAUUAAUAAAAAUAUGAUAAAAUUUUAGAUCCUACGUACAUUGAUAAACAAUAAUAUAACUCUAUCAGUGAGUAUCAAUAUCUAUCCUUUGUAGAAUACAAAAUUGUUAUAUUUUGUAAAUAUUUUGGUUCAUUUUGCCGUAUUAGAAAAUGACACAAUACAUAUGUAUAUGUAUAUAAAAGUUUGUUUUAUGUCCCAUAAUUCCUCUUCAUAAUGCUGGGAUGGAAUAACAUAACAAGUACUACUUAGUAGAAUAACAAAAAUAUGCUCCUUGUCAUUAGUAAUGAAAGUGAAACUAUCUAUAGAAAUCAUUCUACAAAAUUCUCGGCUCAUAUUAUCAGCUACCCAAAAACAAUAUUCGAUGUGACUAUCUUGCAUUCGGCAUUCGAACUUUUUUCAGGUUCAUGCUAGGCAUCCAAACCAAACCCAAUCUUCUACACAAACACUGCCAAUGAAAGAAUGAAAUCUAUAGUACAUUUAUUUUCUAUUGCUCUUCUUGUUGAGUAAUGGAAAAACACAACUAAAGUAGUUUAUUCGAAAGGAGAGAUAAAGCAAUAAAAAAACUAACCGUUGAGGCAUUUGGUAGAUGAAGAAGAUCAAGCAGAUUGAGGAGAAGACCGAUCAAAAGGUAGGCGUGGAUCAGGAACUCCAUCUUCAACUCGCUUAUCUUCAAACCAUUUCACUAUUCUUUUGCGAGGCAGAUUUGUCACUUGGACGAUGCUACUAAUCAUUGCGUUCUGUAUUUGUUGUGCAAAGAAGAAAAAAGUUAGACAAUGGUAAAAUAACAUGUCACUUGAUGACAUACGUAGAGCUUGGUCAACGACCAUCUUGAAGCUCGAUAAUUUAAUCCUCUCCAUCCCACCCCAAUCCUACAAUUGUUCCGUUAAGAAAUAAUAUGCUAUAGAAUUUGAAGUUUUCAAUACUGCUAAAUUCUACCCUCAUAACCUAGGGUUUUCUGAGUUUAUGAGGUUUUUGAAGCAAAGUGAAGAAUACGAAAGAAGCCACAAGUUUAAGUAAGGCAGUAAAUAUUCACGAGCACACACAAAAAGAAAGAAGAAUAAGUUUAAUGAGAAGGCAAAUGAUCUUCAAGCUAAGGCUGGGCUGAGGCAUGUCCCUAGGAUUCGAUCGGUGUUCAUUACCACAAUCUUCAACUUAGAAGAUUUGGUAUUCCUAAUAAAGAGCUCUAAAAACAGUUUUUUAAGAAAUCAAUCCAAACCAACCCUUAGAGAGUUGAGAUAAAUGAUUCCAUUCAUCCACACAGAUGCACAUACAUAUCCAAGAUACAAAUGUAAACCAUUGGUUGAUCUCCUAUGUGUCCUAACAACAUUAAUGAUAUCCUUGCCUCCCUACUGGUGGGUCGUUCUAAAUAUAUAUUUGGUUGGCCAUUACACGUGCAUUAUUUGAACUCUGGUUUUUUAUUUUUUUUGAAUUCUUUGGAGUAAGUGCAAUGGUCAUCUCGAGUCUUUCUCAUCCUUCCAUUGCUUAAUGGAUUUUAUUUUGUUUACCGUAAAAAUAAGCCAUUUGCUCAUUUGUACCUUGUUUCCAAAUGGAAAUCUGUGUUUUGAUCACCUACGAGUGCGGGGUUUCCCCUAUUUCAUUUACCAAUGAAAUGUUUCUUAUGCCAAAUUGAGCAUAGCUAUUGGAGUUUGUGGUUUGCAUCCCCUACACCCAAAUGCACUAAACUGGCACAGGAAUUCAUCAGAUACUCAAAAUGUAAAGAUUUUAUCUUCUUUUGAAGCACAGCUAAUGGAGAAAACUAUACUAAACUUACAGUUGGCCGCUUUGUUCUUCUAUAAACUCUUUCAAGAGUUUCAAUCUGAACCUUCUUCAGUCUCUUUUGAGCAGCCCAGCUCUGUUGCAUGACAUGAACAGGCACCUUCGUCACUUCCUCCUCUUUUGCAGUGUCUACUACUAGGGGUUCUUCAUCAGUAGUUUGUAAGGUUUUAGUUUCUAUAAUUGAUGGUUUAGGAGUGUCUGGAAGACUAGCACUCAACAUCAGAAGAUUGGGUGGUGGUUCGCGAAGCAACUCGAGAACGACGGUCCUGUCGAGACAAAGUUCAGCAGCAAGACUCUUGAUCUGCAAAGAAAAGGAUGCAUUAGCCUUCAGCAAGAUAAACUUGCAAAGUAAACACUGCAUUAGCAUUUAGGAAGACUCUUCUUCAGUAAAGUCAACAACAAAUUGAGAAAGUACAUAGGGUUUUUUUUAUAUGGAUGACCUUAAAAGUUAGGUGGAAACAAAAUCUGACUGGUUUCUCAAUAUAAGUUUUUCUGGCAUCGGUGAACGUAUUUUAUUUUUGGGCUCACUCCCUUUUCCCUCUCGCUCUCAUUCUCACUCUCUCUCCGAUCCUAUGUUGCCUCCUGUUGCUCUCACUCUCUAUUUGACCAUUUUGUUCUUGCUCUCGCUCCUCAUGUUCCCUCACUCUUAGCUCCCUAUUUAAAGAGGUUUUAUAGUAUAAAAUCUCAUUUGGUAUCUAUUUGUAAGAGUAUUGAUAUAAUAUUAAAUCUACCUUCACUCACCAAAGUUUUUGGGUUGUGAUUUAAAAUGGUAUCAUAGUCUAUGAAGUCCAUGCCAACAUUUGAUCCAAAAAGAAAAAUUUGGAUCCAACCUUAUGAAUCAUGAACCCAGUGAGGCAUAUCUUGAAGGCCAUGUUGAAUAGCCCACGUUGAUAAAAUAGAGAGACGACACACAAUCUUAUUUAAGAUCGAUGAGUCUCCGAAAAUGAAAUUAUAGUGAUUUCGUACUUUGAUACCAUGUAUCUAAUAUCAGUCAGGAUAUUCAAAUUUCGGGUCUUUCCAAACGGAACUGAUUCAAGAAGAUUUUGUGCUUUCUAGUUCCCAAAUCAAACGGCAACAAAAACCACAGGUUACUGAUAUUGCAUAAAAAGUUCAAUGUUUGAAAAACUCACGCUCGUUUUACGGCGGCCUUUCUUCAAAGCCAAGGCUAGUCGUCGAAGUUGCCAGUUCUUUAGUUUUACAGGCAUUUCCUCUUCUUCAUCAUCUUCAUCGUCGCCGUCGUCGUCAUCUUCUUCUUCUUCUUCUUCUUCUUCUUCUUCUUCUGCUUCUUCUUCUUCUUCAUCAACAUCGAUGCCAAGAGCUAACCCUAGCUCGCGCUCAAGUCUGGCAAGGUCCUCUUCGCUAAAUUCAUCGUCUUCACCCUCAUCCAAGGAAGACGCGUCAUUCUUGAGAUCUUCUUCCAGUUGACUAAACAACAACUCAAGAGCAUCCUCCUCUACAUCCUCCUCCUCGUCCCUAGCUUCUUUCGGAAUCAAAUUUCUCUGCAAAAAAAAAAAAAAAAAAGUAGAAUAACAAAAUUUGAAGUUUCAGAUAAGCUUAAUUACACGCUCAUGCCAACGCAACAGAAACAAUAAAAGAUUAAGUAAAAUAAGAUCACCACACUAUCUAGAACUCUACCUUCUUUUUCUUCGAAGAUGAUGAAGACGAGCUGACAGAUGAAUUUUGGUUCCGACGGCGAGCAAAUGUGAGCGACAGAGUGCGACAAACCGGAGGACGAUGCAGAAGAGUAAAAUUGGAUGGAAAAGGCCGGCGUCGAAAGAAGAAUCUACCUCGGUCAGAAAUCGACGGCGAACCUGGAAGUGCUUCCGGUGCCGUCGCCGGUGCCGAAAGAAACAUCGGUUGAUUUAUGUAGACAGACACUUUGUUCGAUCAAUAUCAAGCGGCAAGAUGAUAAACCUUCCUGUUCCCUCCAAAACGACGCAGUUUACUUGCACGUGCGGAAAGUUUAAUUUAUUUCUACUCAAUUUUGUUUUUUAAAUGACCAUUUUCGUCACUUUUUUCAUUGUAUUUUUAUAUGAAUUAUAAAUAUUUUUACCAAAAUUUUGACAAUUUUUUUAAUAAUUUAGAGCGAAAAUGCAAAGGAUGAUAAAUGGGACGAUAAUUUUUUUUUUCUAGUCAGAUUUAUUUAAAAUAUAAGAUUUAAAAUUAAAGAAGUACUGGAUCAAAAUUGAACAAGUCUUAAACACCAAUCGAUUCGUGUAAAUUACCGAGUGGUGUAUUAAAAAAAAUUGUUUAACUUUCCUUAUAUUUCAAUAAAAAAUAUUACAAAAAAAGAAUAAUGAUAAGAAGUGAGUGUGGAGGAAUCGAAAGCUACGUUCAUUAUUAAGUUAACUAAUAAUAUUGAUAUUAUAUCAUUUAUAUAUGUAUAUAUAUAUAUAUAACGGGUAUAAAGUUGAAAGAGACUCAAACCCUAAACAUAUAAUAAAUUCAUUGGUGGGUAUAUUUAUUUUGCAUCAAAAGAAAACUCAACUAUUUAUAUUUUUGUGAACACAUUUAUUUAACACGUAUUACACGGCUUAAUCGACUAGUUAAAAGUAUUAUAAUUUUUAUUUUUUCCCAUUAGUUAGUAUCAUUUCUACAUCAAAUUACUGUGUUGAUCCAUAAAUAUAUCAUUUGAAUAUUUUUUUAUUUUUUAAUUAAUUUUUCAUCAAAUUUGGUUAAAUAAUAAUUAUAAUAACUUUCAUCCCAUGAAAGACUCAUCAAUGGGAUAAGGGUAGAGACUAAUUAUGAGAUUUAUUCAACAUAAGAUUACUAAUUAAAUUAGAAGAUGAUAUAUUAACCAAACGUUACUUUUCAAUAAGCGAUUAUAUAUAUAUAUAAUAUAUAGAUAUUUAAAAAAAUCUCCACUCUAAACAUUACUAAAAACAUAAAAAUAGAUUAUAAAUUAAUAAGAGAGUUUAUUUAUUAAUUUUGUUGAGCAAAAACUAAAGCCUAUAGGAAACAUAAUGAAGAAAGAUGUUUGGUUAUAAUUUGAUUUCAUGUAAUAAAUAAGCAUUUCCUUUAUAACUAAGCUGCCUAACCUCAGUCCCAACACAGAAUAAAUGGCCUUCCAAUCCCAAUUCUCCCUUCAUUCCAGCUGUUUCCCAAACAAGUUUAAAAAUCCCCAUUGCUCUAUCAAGCUGCCUCACCCCAUUCCAUACAAUUUUCUCUUCAUCACAGCUCAAAACCCUCCCCAUGAACAACAAAAACUUGUCAUUCCCAUCACCCUUCAACAACCCACCACAAAAAUCCACUUCAAUAUCCCUAAAAUGCCCAAAAAGAUAGUAUAGUAAAAGGGUGAACAAGCACCUGGAUGAGUGCCCCAAUGUCUUUGAAAGCUUCUUUUGCACCAAGCUUUCUUGAAGUUUGGCUUCCCUAAAUCCAAUGCUUCUAUCACUCCACACAUCUUUGAUUUGGGAAAGCCCUUCUUUCAUAACCUCGAGCUUUGUUACAUAAUGGACCAAACUCUUCUCGUCUUUCAGAUAGCCGAUCAGAUCGUUGAACAUCUCGAGCAUGUCUUCCCAUCUUGGCGGUGGAGAUGACUUGACUACCGUUCGUGAUGGCGCUGGUCGAAUCCAUGAAGAGAAGUGAACAUUUGAAUUGGUGGCAGUAUCCAAAAACUUUAGGCAACUUGAAACUAUCUGAAGCGACAUUUUGAUCCCUUUGUCGGUUGAGCGAUGAGAUAAUGGAAGCAACUCCAAAUUUAACUCUUUCAGUAUUUGAUCCAAUGCACCAGUCCAAAUGUGAUGCUGUGUAACCUGUUUAAACAUCAAACAUCAAACAUAUACUAAUAUAACAUUUGGGUUUCAUAGUGACUUAUCCCAAUGUUAACAAAAACAAAACACGACUUGGCCUAAAGGUGUUUGGAGAUUUUGAGCCCAAGGAUUCAAAUUUCAUAGCAACCAGCUCACCUAAGAUAAAAUUAUAAGAUCACCAAUGCACCAAAAAAAACCUAAGUUAAUGGGUGAUGGUAAAUUUCUUAAUAUAUCAAUACUUUAAGGUUUUCCUUCACUUUGAAAUAUGUGAAAGAUCUAACAAGUACAAAUUAAUAUUACUUGGAGUGGAAAUAACAUUCUAAGAAAGAUCUAACAAGUACAAAUUAAUAUUACUUGGAGUGGAAAUAACAUUCUAAGAGUUUGAACACAUGAACUCUUCUUAAUCUUAAUAUUAAAUCACGGAUGAAUCUAAAAUUUUAAGAUAAGCUAAUGGAUGAAGGUAAGUUUAAUGAUAUAUCACUGCUUUAAAACACCGCCAAUUUUCUUUUGGACAAUUCUAUAUGGUCUAACCUGUGGGCAUAUGGUGUGGCGCACCAGUUUCCUUUGCUGGACUGUGACCCCGAGGAUGUUGCACACCUUGGUGAGUGAAUCAACAACCAUAGCCUCUCGUUCACUUGAAUUUCUGAACCAUGCGUGAGGCUGACAAUUUAUAGAACUCGAUCCAGCUAUCUCUGUUAUUCUCCUCUGAGCAGAUGGAGAACCAAUCAAGAUUCUUACAAGGGACUUGAAAGUGCGCAUUUCCUGUUCAAUACGCUCAUCGCUAAUGGUCGAAUCAUCACUAGCAUUCACAACUCGUCCAUCCAUCAAAUCCACAUUCCUCAACUUACAGCUCAAUUUCUUUAUCUUCCCAAAAGCCUUCUCGUACCAUUCAGACGGUAACACCUCUUGAACGGCGGAGGAGUCCUCUGCGGAAUGAUACAGCAUAGAAUUUGAUUGUGAAGCCCCACAUCUUGUGUUAGUGAGAUGCUUUAAGCGAGAGAUGAAAAACAGCCUCUGCAACUGAUUAUAAAUCAUGACUCGAAAGUCACUUCAUAAAUUUACUCCCUAGUGGAAAUCUGAGCAAUGGGUUUGCAUAUUCUCCGGCGAUAGUAAGUUUGCCAUAGCCUGGAACUUGAUUGCAGCAUUUUGUCGAACAGUUGGUGGGUGCACCCUUAGAGAAACAAAAAUGGAGAAUUUGGGUUGUUGAAAUCCUUGUGCAAGUAAAUUGAAACAGAAGAACUCCACGAUUGGCAACUGGAAUUACAAGAUUGAUGAGAGAAAUGAAGCGAAGAACUGAGAAUAUUAGCACUCACACCAAAAUCUCCAGCUGAAGUAAACAAAUACUUCUGUUUUUCUCGCCUCUCUUUUCAAACACAAUUUUGGUCCUAUUAAUAUUUUUCUAAUUUAAAAUUACAUUUGAUUCCUACUUUUAAAAUAAAACUAAAAAAAAAAUAGAAAGAAAUACCUAAAUUUAAUACCAAAUUUCACAAAUAUAAUUCAUUUUCUCGAUUAGGAUUCCCUAAUAAUUAUAAUCUUUAUUAAUUAUAUAAGAUUUUCGAAACUAAAUUCAAAUGGUUUCUUUAAUUACAUUAUAUUUAAUUUAUUAUAGAAAUUAAAUAAAAAUAGUUGAUAAAUUCUAUAUAAAAUGAAUACUAUUCUAAUAUGUAAUAGUUUAAUAAUUCAAUAUAACUAUAUUUCAUUAUUUUCAUCACCACAUAUUGUGAAAUUUAUUUCGGUGCCGGCGACGACUUCAUUUUCUUCCUCCUUCAAUUUCGAUAUUUUCUUCCAUCAAUUUCGAUAUAUAAUGCAUAUAUCACCAUACCAAUACAUAAAGAAAAUUUGUACUUUUUAAAAAAGUUUCUGAAACGUAACCUACAUUCCUAUUUCUCUCCUUGUCGGUCCACCUUACAAAUUAAUAUAAAAAUCUUUUAUUCAUAAAAUAUAAAUAAGUGAAAUGAAAUAUAUGAAAAACAAUGUAAAACUAAAGAAAGAAGGGACAAAGAGAGAUCAGGAGAAGAUUUUUUCGAACACAAUCACCCAAAUAAAAAUAAUUAGGAAUUUUUAUUACAAUAUUUAAUAAAUACAAAUAUUAAUCAUGAUUCACUUUUUUUUAAUUUUUUCUCUUUUUAUAUAUUAUUAAUAAUAAAGAUAGAUAAAUUGAUCUUUAGCUUUUAUAUUCGUGUAAAAUAUUAAUCAAUAUAGGACAUUUCUGAAAAUUUGUAAAAUUUUAAAUUUGUUAUAUGAUGUACCAUUUUAGGGUAGGUUAGUUAAAGACCCAACAAAAAAUAGAAUAAUAAAGUUCAUAUCAAUACAUUUUCUAAAUUCAAACUUAAAAACCGACAACCCUAUAAUUGGUUCUACAUGGUCAUAAUUUUGAUAGAUAAAAAUUAAAAGAGGGAGAAAAAGAAAAACCUCUAUACAACUUUCGAACGAAAAGGAAAGAAGCAAGAAACAACCCCAUAGAAGUAAAUGGUGAGGAAAAGGAACAAAGGAAAAGAUAAAACAUAUCUAUAAAUUCACUCACCCAUUAAGUCAACAAAAGAUCAAUUGCAAAUAUUUUGAUGAAAGAGGGAGUAUUUUUCAGUUAAUUUUAAGAUCUAAGAAUGGACUAAAAUGGGACAAGUUACAUUAUCUAAUUUAAAAUUGAAUAAAUUUACAAAUAUAUAGUAUGAAUUGUUUUCCAAUAUAGCAAAAUGCUAUCAAUUAUUUUUCAUUCGAAACCAAGACACUUAAUAAUUUGGUUGGUUUAAGUGUGUUUAAGUAUUCACCCGAACCACUAAUUAUCACGUGAUAAAAAAAAAAUCUUAAAAGAUAUAAACAAGAGGAUAUUUCAUGUUUCAAAAUCCUUUCUCGACCACAUCUCCCUCUGAAUAAUUUGCAAAAUGUAAACUACAUUUCAACAAAUUUAUGGUGAACAUUUUUAGGAGUCAAAUGUGGACAAUCCACUAGUAAUCAAAAACCAAAAUUUUGCCAUUCCCGUAAAAUGAUAUCUGUUCUCCAAGAGGAAUGCAUAUUAUUGCGAUUAAGUUAGCAAACAUCAACUUAGAGAGAGACCAUAAUUAACUUCACAACCAUUGUGAAUACACUGAAUCAGAAUUUGAAUACGAAUCAAAGUCACUAUUCAUGAUCUUAUUCAUGAGCAAACUAGCUCUCUCUCUCGCUUUUGCUGAUCCUCUCACAGAAAGAUCAGCAAUAACUCCAAAAAACUCUGGCAACUUCGAAGCAUCACUCAAACAACCUUCGCUUUCGUCGAACAAUCGCAAAAGUAUCUCAGUUGCACCUUCUUUACUCAGCAUGCACCUUCCUUUCAACACAUUAACCAUUGAAAUUACGAUCCGAUCGGUUUUUAUCAAAGCUCUCAACCCCUCCUCAAAUCUAGCCAAGAGACCGAGAACAACAAGAGCAGUACCAGCGAGAUCCUCACCGCUAGUACUCUCCACUACACUGAUAAGAACUUGGAUGGCUCCGGAUCGAACUGCCACAGUGCAGUUCCCGUGAAACUGGCCUAGUUCAGCUAAGGAACAGAGAAGGUGAUGGGCAGCAGGAAUGUUGGGAACUUUAAGUGCUCUAACCAAUAGUUGUAUUGUCCCUGCUACACCAAACUUAGCUUUGUUUUUGUCUAACAUUGCAAGGCUGCAAAUCAAUGAGGACGAUAGCUUGACAGUGUCGGGGGAGCCAAGAGAUAUAAGUGUAUUGAGAUGGUAGAUGGUUUCCAUUGAUGCAAGAAGCUUUUUCAUGUCAUGGUUCAGAGAGAGGUUGAAGAGAAUUGACAGUGAAAGAGAUUGGAUGGUAGAGGAAGAUGAUUUGGAAAGACCAAUAAGAGUUGAAAUCGAUCCAUCUACUUGUACAAGCAAGUUCCUGUGUAGAGGACUAACCUGAGUAAUGGUGACCAAGUUUUGAAGAGCCUUUUCUUGAACUUCGUGAGCAUCUGACCGAGCCCCCGCCAUACACUCUGUUAUGGUUUUAUGUGCAGUAGCAACACUCAUGGAUCUCAUGGAAGAAGAAGACUGGAAAGAUGCAACUGACAUGAUGCUCAAAUAAUAUUAUUCUGAAAAGAGCGAGGAUAAUACAAGCCUAGAAGUUUUAGAACGAACUUCAAUUUCUAACCUGCAAUAUAAAUUAGAAGCUCUAUUUUCUAGGGAGAACAGAUAAAGUUAACUUGUGGCUGGAUUUUUGGAAACAUCAUUCGUUGUUAUCAAAGUAUGAGUAAGGUAUAUUCCUGUUUUGGUCCUUAAAGAAAUUCAACAUAAGACAGAAGAUGAUCCAAGCAUCCAAGAACCAGGCUGGAAAUAUAAAUAAAUAUCACCAUGUAGUAUGAAUCAGUCCAAAUAGCUGAAAAACAAGCAAGUCUAGUCAAACCACAUAGUUGAUUACUCCCUAAACGAAGGAAUCAAUCCUAUAGUAGAAUAGCCUUUUUCCUGGGUCUUGAUUGGGGGGAGAGAGAGAGUAUACACAGACAACACUAAAAAAAGUAUAUAUUAGAGCUCAGGCAAUAACAUGUAUAUAGAAAGCUUCCUUCUUUUUUUUCUCUUGCACUCGGAAGUUUGAAGGUAUAUAAAUUUAAUUAAUUCUUUCCAAUGCAAAUAAACUCUAAUCAUGAUAUACCAGUACAACUCUUCCAAAGUUCUCAGAUUGCGACAUCCUCUGUGUUGAAAUAGAAAGGGCAAGGAAAAAGAGGAAGGCACAACUUUACAGGGCAAAUAAGUGGGGAUCGGGGAGACACCCCAAAAUAGAAGCGCACGAGGGAAUGGAAUUAAAACAUGGGGUGGGCUUAUACAGAAUUAUUCAAGAAGAAGCAAGAAGUCAAAAGAGACAAAGGGGAAGAGAACUCACAAGAAGGAUAAUGAAGAGGCUGGAGUUGUUCCUUUCUGAGGAUGCUCCUAUCUGCCAUCAUUGGUUACAACCAAGUUCACAAGGGGAAUCUGAUGAAAUUUACAGGACAAAACCACAUGGCAUUUAAUAUUCGGAAAUCGUAAGAUGGGCCCUGAAUGCAGCAAAAGCCAUGUCUCACCCGAUGUUCAACGUCGCCAGGAAAACAUGGACUCAAUUAAUUCUUUGACCCCACUGAAAACGACAAGAAAUUCUACUUGCUUUCCAAUGUCGUUACAUAAAUAUAAUAUUUUAAAAAACCCUAGCAAAAAAUUAUAUUAAAAAUCCAACCCAAGACUAUAAUUUGUAACAAGAAUAUAGACUAAAACAAUGGGACCAACAAAAGUCAUAGAAAAAGGACUAAUCGUGAAGGGGGAAAUCUCAUAUGAAAUCCAAUCGAGAUGAUAAAACAAGUUUCACACUUAUUAUUUAUCAAUGAUGACUCGAACAGAUGGUG
This 21177-nucleotide long non-coding RNA is filed under the name Cucumis sativus (cucumber). Its description in RNAcentral is "long non-coding RNA (CSAT_LNC001327)". The record is from RNAcentral. Lineage: Eukaryota; Viridiplantae; Streptophyta; Magnoliopsida; Cucurbitales; Cucurbitaceae.